RNAcentral lists this ribosomal RNA (498 nucleotides) under uncultured bacterium. Its description in RNAcentral is "partial 16S ribosomal RNA". It matches the Rfam family "Bacterial small subunit ribosomal RNA", at positions 30 to 523 of the family's 1533-position model. The record is from RNAcentral.
AUUGAACGCUGGCGGCAUGCCUUACACAUGCAAGUCGAACGGUAACAGGUCUUCGGAUGCUGACGAGUGGCGAACGGGUGAGUAAUACAUCGGAACGUGCCUAGUAGUGGGGGAUAACUACUCGAAAGAGUGGCUAAUACCGAAUGAGAUCUACGGAUGAAAGCAGGGGAUCGCAAGACCUUGUGCUACUAGAGCGGCCGAUGGCAGAGUAGGUAGUUGGUGGGAUAAAAGCUUACCAAGCCGACGAUCUGUAGCUGGUCUGAGAGGACGAUCAGCCACACUGUGACUGAGAAACGGCCCAGACUCCUACGGGAGGCAGCAGUGGGGAAUUUUGGACAAUGGGCGCAAGCCUGAUCCAGCAAUGCCGCGUGCAGGAUGAAGGCCUUCGGGUUGUAAACUGCUUUUGUACGGAACGAAAAGCCCCGGGUUAAUACCCUGGGGUCAUGACGGUACCGUAAGAAUAAGCACCGGCUAACUACGUGCCAGCCGCCGCAGUAA